GGAUAUUUAAAAUAAAUAUAUACACUUUCACGUCAUGAAAUUUUCUAUUCAACUGUAUAUCGAUAACUGAUGUUGAGAGUAAAUUUAAAUUGUUCAAGCUGAGCAGCUUGGCACAAUGUCAUCAAGCAAGUCAAGUAUCCAUUCUUCAAUUUUAGGACUUCAAAUUUAGUACAUAGAUGUAUCCAUUUAAUUCAGAUGUAACUAGUGGGUCGCUGAGAGUGUGCAAUGGAAUAAUAAAUUCUGAAGCAGUGAAUCCUUGACCUUUCCAAAGUCCACUUUCCAAUGAACAAUUUUGUAAACAAUGUACAACUGCCCAAUAACGAGAUUGUUCACUAGGGAAAUUAUGUUCUAUUAGGAAUGCAAUCCUUCCAAUGCAAACUUUGUUCUGUUUGUUUAAAAAUGACACAAAUGAUGAGUCC
Molecule: long non-coding RNA, 419 nt
Filed under: Mytilus galloprovincialis (Mediterranean mussel)
Lineage: Eukaryota; Metazoa; Mollusca; Bivalvia; Mytilida; Mytilidae
Source: RNAcentral